GACGAACGCUGGCGGCGUGCUUAACACAUGCAAGUCGAACGGAAAGGCCCUGCUUUUGUGGGGUGCUCGAGUGGCGAACGGGUGAGUAACACGUGAGUAACCUGCCCUUGACUUUGGGAUAACUUCAGGAAACUGGGGCUAAUACCGGAUAGGAGCUCCUGCUGCAUGGUGGGGGUUGGAAAGUUUCGGCGGUUGGGGAUGGACUCGCGGCUUAUCAGCUUGCUGGUGGGGUAGUGGCUUACCAAGGCUUUGACGGGUAGCCGGCCUGAGAGGGUGACCGGCGACAUUGGGACUGAGAUACGGCGCAGAGUCGUACGGGGGGCAGCAGUGGGGAGUAUUGCACAAUGGGCGGGAGCCUGAUACAGCGACGCCGCGUGCGGGAUGACGGCCUUCGGGGUGUAAACCGCUUUCGCCUGUGACGAAGCGUGAGUGACGGUAAUGAAUAAAGAAGCACCGGCUAACUACGUG
RNAcentral lists this ribosomal RNA (468 nucleotides) under uncultured bacterium. Its description in RNAcentral is "partial 16S ribosomal RNA". It matches the Rfam family "Bacterial small subunit ribosomal RNA", at positions 28 to 507 of the family's 1533-position model. The record is from RNAcentral.